GCCCACGCAAGUGGGAUCAGGUAAGGGUGAAAGGGUGCGGUAAGAGCGCACCGCGCGGCUGGUAACAGUCCGUGGCACGGUAAACUCCACCCGGAGCAAGGCCAAAUAGGGGUUCAUAAGGUACGGCCCGUACUGAACCCGGGUAGGCUGCUUGAGCCAGUGAGCGAUUGCUGGCCUAGAUGAAUGACUGUCCACGACAGAACCCGGCUUAUCGGUCAGUUUCACUU
Molecule: RNase P RNA, 227 nt
Filed under: Salmonella enterica
Lineage: Bacteria; Pseudomonadati; Pseudomonadota; Gammaproteobacteria; Enterobacterales; Enterobacteriaceae
Also listed under: 1 other name
Description: partial RNase P RNA component class A
Rfam family: Bacterial RNase P class A
About the family: Ribonuclease P (RNase P) is a ubiquitous endoribonuclease, found in archaea, bacteria and eukarya as well as chloroplasts and mitochondria. Its best characterised activity is the generation of mature 5'-ends of tRNAs by cleaving the 5'-leader elements of precursor-tRNAs.
Source: RNAcentral